Molecule: unclassified non-coding RNA, 151 nt
Filed under: uncultured fungus
Lineage: Eukaryota; Fungi
Description: sequence contains ITS1, 5.8S rRNA gene
Source: RNAcentral
UUAUUUCUUAUGUUUGAUUCAGACACAAAGACUGAUUAAAGCAUAAAAGCGGCGCCGAGGCGCCGAAGCACAUCUUGCUUCCACAGGUUUGCAAGGUUGAAGGCCAAGAGGCCAUUCAGUAAUGAUCCCUCCGCAGGUUCACCUACGGAGA